RNAcentral lists this ribosomal RNA (1381 nucleotides) under Lactiplantibacillus plantarum. RNAcentral's name for it is "bacterial SSU rRNA". It matches the Rfam family "Bacterial small subunit ribosomal RNA", at positions 66 to 1412 of the family's 1533-position model. Lineage: Bacteria; Bacillati; Bacillota; Bacilli; Lactobacillales; Lactobacillaceae. The record is from RNAcentral.
ACGACUCUGGUAUUGAUUGGUGCUUGCAUCAUGAUUUACAUUUGAGUGAGUGGCGAAAGGUGAGUAACACGUGGGAAACCUGCCCAGAAGCGGGGGAUAACACCUGGAAACAGAUGCUAAUACCGCAUAACAACUUGGACCGCAUGGUCCGAGUUUGAAAGAUGGCUUCGGCUAUCACUUUUGGAUGGUCCCGCGGCGUAUUAGCUAGAUGGUGAGGUAACGGCUCACCAUGGCAAUGAUACGUAGCCGACCUGAGAGGGUAAUCGGCCACAUUGGGACUGAGACACGGCCCAAACUCCUACGGGAGGCAGCAGUAGGGAAUCUUCCACAAUGGACGAAAGUCUGAUGGAGCAACGCCGCGUGAGUGAAGAAGGGUUUCGGCUCGUAAAACUCUGUUGUUAAAGAAGAACAUAUCUGAGAGUAACUGUUCAGGUAUUGACGGUAUUUAACCAGAAAGCCACGGCUAACUACGUGCCAGCAGCCGCGGUAAUACGUAGGUGGCAAGCGUUGUCCGGAUUUAUUGGGCGUAAAGCGAGCGCAGGCGGUUUUUUAAGUCUGAUGUGAAAGCCUUCGGCUCAACCGAAGAAGUGCAUCGGAAACUGGGAAACUUGAGUGCAGAAGAGGACAGUGGAACUCCAUGUGUAGCGGUGAAAUGCGUAGAUAUAUGGAAGAACACCAGUGGCGAAAGGCGGCUGUCUGGUCUGUAUCUGACGCUGAGGCUCGAAAGUAUGGGUAGCAAUCAGGAUUAGAUACCCUGGUAGUCCAUACCGUAAACGAUGAAUGCUAAGUGUUGGAGGGUUUCCGCCCUUCAGUGCUGCAGCUAACGCAUUAAGCAUUCCGCCUGGGGAGUACGGCCGCAAGGCUGAAACUCAAAGGAAUUGACGGGGGCCCGCACAAGCGGUGGAGCAUGUGGUUUAAUUCGAAGCUACGCGAAGAACCUUACCAGGUCUUGACAUACUAUGCAAAUCUAAGAGAUUAGACGUUCCCUUCGGGGACAUGGAUACAGGUGGAGCAUGGUUGUCGUCAGCUCGUGUCGUGAGAUGUUGGGUUAAGUCCCGCAACGAGCGCAACCCUUAUUAUCAGUUGCCAGCAUUAAGUUGGGCACUCUGGUGAGACUGCCGGUGACAAACCGGAGGAAGGUGGGGAUGACGUCAAAUCAUCAUGCCCCUUAUGACCUGGGCUACACACGUGCUACAAUGGAUGGUACAACGAGUUGCGAACUCGCGAGAGUAAGCUAAUCUCUUAAAGCCAUUCUCAGUUCGGAUUGUAGGCUGCAACUCGCCUACAUGAAGUCGGAAUCGCUAGUAUUUUUUGGAUCAGCAUGCCGCGGUGAAUACGUUCCCGGUCCUUGUACCUUUUCUCCCGUCACACCAUGAGAGUU